AGCAAUAUGAAGGUCAGGCUGAAGACCUUACCCGAUUAGCUGAGAGGUGGUGCAUGGCCGUCGUCAGUUCGUACUGUGAAGCAUCCUGUUAAGUCAGGCAACGAGCGAGACCCACGUCCACAGUUGCCAGCAUACCCUCCGGGGUGAUGGGUACACUGUGGAGACCGCCGCUGCUAAAGCGGAGGAAGGAGUGGGCAACGGUAGGUCAGUAUGCCCCGAAUCUCCCGGGCUACACGCGGGCUACAAUGGUUGGUACAAUGGGCAUCUACCCCGAAAGGGGAAGGAAAUCUCUUAAAGCCAAUCGUAGUUCGGAUUGAGGGCUGCAACUCGCCCUCAUGAAGCUGGAAUCCGUACGUAAUCGCGUUUACAACAAGAACGCGGUGAAUACGUCCCUGGCUCCUU
RNAcentral lists this ribosomal RNA (402 nucleotides) under uncultured Methanosaeta sp. RNAcentral describes it as "bacterial SSU rRNA". It matches the Rfam family "Archaeal small subunit ribosomal RNA", at positions 941 to 1338 of the family's 1478-position model. Lineage: Archaea; Methanobacteriati; Methanobacteriota; Methanomicrobia; Methanotrichales; Methanotrichaceae. The record is from RNAcentral.